This 255-nucleotide ribosomal RNA is filed under the name uncultured bacterium. RNAcentral describes it as "partial 16S ribosomal RNA". It matches the Rfam family "Bacterial small subunit ribosomal RNA", at positions 526 to 779 of the family's 1533-position model. The record is from RNAcentral.
CGAAGGGUGCAAGCGUUACUCGGAAUUACUGGGCGUAAAGCGUGCGUAGGUGGUGAUUUAAGUCCGUUGUGAAAGCCCUGGGCUCAACCUGGGAAUUGCAGUGGAUACUGGGUCACUAGAAUGUGGUAGAGGGUAGCGGAAUUCCUGGUGUAGCAGUGAAAUGCGUAGAGAUCAGGAGGAACAUCCGUGGCGAAGGCGGCUACCUGGACCAACAUUGACACUGAGGCACGAAAGCGUGGGGGAGCAAACAGGAUU